Molecule: long non-coding RNA, 17397 nt
Filed under: Vitis vinifera (wine grape)
Lineage: Eukaryota; Viridiplantae; Streptophyta; Magnoliopsida; Vitales; Vitaceae
Description: long non-coding RNA (VVIN_LNC005111)
Source: RNAcentral
GAAGGGCGAUAUAUUCUUAUCAAACAAAAGAAUUCUAUGUUUUCUUGAUCUCAAACACAGUGGCUUUCUCCACGUCCAUUCUUCUUCUUAUAUCUCUAACACAUAAAUUUCCUUUCCACUUUGAAGUAAUUCUUGCCACAACCUCAAUGGUUGUGACUUAUGCUUCUUCUGUAUUCGCCGUUACCCCGGAUGAAUUGGUCAAGUUUCGAUACAUCUUGUUUGCUGCCGCUGCACCUUUUAUAAUAAGAUGCCUACUGCAGGUGUGGGCCAGGUUGACAAUGGAGGUAUGAAGAUAGACUUAAUUACGUCUUUUUAUUUUUAUUUUUUAUCCACAAGCUUCUAUUCAGUCCUAAUUUAUUCUUUUUUUUUUCCCCCUGCUUUUGUGCAGGAGCAACCAUAUGAUAAACACAUCGUCUUUCCGGAUAAUCGCAGCGGCGAGAAUGAAUUAAACAGACUUUAGAGGUAGCUAUGGGGAGUUGUAAUACUGGAAACAAUAUUCUGAUUCCAAUCCCUCCAUGGGUGAAGUUUAUUCUUGAUGCCCAUAUAGUCUUUUUAUUCAUGUAAAAGUCAACAUCAAUCAUGGCCUUCCCAAUUCAAUCUUUUUUUUAGAGUGUUGGAGAACUGUCUAUUUUAAGCCUAAAGGCAUCCUGGAGAUUUGGAAUACAUAUUGAGUUAGUAGGUUUUUGAAUGUUAAUGCAGUAGAGUGAAUGAUUGGGUCCAAGAUACACAAUGUAAGUACUAAUGGACGAGAAAUCAUCUUUAUUGUUUGCCCAAUCGGCUUAUGAGAAAGGAUGUAGUGCCACUGGAGAGUCCCGCUAAAGUAAAAUGCCAUAAUCAAAAGUAGCACAUAGAUAACAAAAGAAGCGCUUGGUAAAAGCCUAAAGUUUUAUAAUGGGUUGAUAUAUGUACUAAGAGUGUUUGUUUAUUGUAAAUGCUAUGUCAGGCUACUUAAGAUACAAGUACUACAAACUUCCAAUGAUGAUACAAUAUUCAGUUAGAUCAAAAGAGCAACUGACAUGAAUAGAGAGUGACAUACUUACAUGAAGUGGUGUGGAGACAGGUUUUGUUGGGAAUCCCUAGAUCCCUCCAUUCCUAGUCUUGGACCACUUAGGGUGCAUGCUACUAGUAUUAAGGCUCUCUAGAUCUAAUGCAAUAGAAAAAUAUGAUAAUAAAAACCAUUAAAAACAUAGAUAUAGAGAGUUUAGAUAUCAUACAUCUGAUUUGGAUGUUCUUAAAUCAAAUAUAAUCUAAUGAAGAAACUUUAUAGCCGUCGUAAAUCUCAAAGACCAACAAUCUUCCACAUGAUAACUUUUUUCACGGAUCUUGGCACAAGAGAAGAGUGGUCUUUUCUUUAGACAAGGAGACUAGGGUUUUCUCUCUAGAUCUCUAAAAAAAUAGUGAAAGAUUGAAGCCUUAAACCCCUAAGAGAGUUUAUAUAGACUUCUAUGUGGGCUUAAGUGACUUGAGCCUAACUUGGGCUUGGGUCGCUUAAUCUAACCCACUUGGAUCAUAAUUAAUUAAUUAUUCAUUUUGAGCUCCAAUUAAUUAAUUAACCUAAUCCAAAAAGACCAUUCAUAUGAUCCAAUAUAACUUUGCAUUUUUAUGAAAAUUCCAUUAUGCACACUCAUAAAUUAGAAAUCCAAAAAUACCCUUAAAAUCAUGCCACCAUGAAUCUAGAGCUUGAAUGAGGACUACUAAGACCCAUAGAAAAAUAUUGAUUCCCUUAGAAUCUAAUUCCAAAUUUAACUUAACAUCCUACUAUAAAGAGUCAACUGCACUCCAAUAUUAUAUGUAUUUUAGAAUGAGAAAGAACUCAUGUCCAUGACCUUCUAUCCAUUGCAUCCGAACUCCCCAUGAACUAGUAUUCAUAAUCUAACAAGGUAUAUGCUAUUAACCUCUCAAGAUUACUUCUCUCAUCCUUGAGUUAUUGACCUUUUUAUUAUGUGAUCAAUUAAUAUACUCUAGUUCAAAAAAGUAUAUGUUAAAUUCUAGUUGAGGAAUUAUUGUGGCCAUAAAUUUUAUGAUUACACGUCCUUAGGAUUACCCAAAAGGACACACUAUCCCAAUCCCAUAAGAUAUCAUGAUGCUUCUAGUCAUUAGGCGUCAUCUGUAGAUGACCUAAUCCAUAGGGAAUAUAUGACCAUUUAAUGGCAUAUAUUUGAUAUGAUUUGUGCACCAAAGGACACUCAAAUCACCAAACUUGACCUAAAUUGAUGCUAAUACCCUAGCCAUGAGUUUAACUUGUAUUUUAGAGAUUUAUCUUGGGUUCAAGGGAAGAAAGGGUGCAGGUUGAAUCACUUUAGAUUUUGAAAUAUAAAAAAAAAAAAAGGUUAAUUAAGGAAAGAAGCGAGUCAAAACUCAUGGAUUAUGAGAAAAGACAAGACGAGGAUAUCAUGAGUUUAGAAGAUGAGAAAUGACCAUUAUGGAGUAAGAAAGAAGGCAAGAGAAGAUGGAUUAUGAGGCAUGGAACAAAUUCAUCAAGUUGCAUGGAAGUUUAGAACUUAAAAUCUGGUGGCAACAUGUACUUUGAAUUUGAGGCAAAAAUUUGGAGUGCUUUCUGAAGUUCAUUUUGGGCAUACUAUAUAUUUUUUUGAAGGUCGGGAAUUCAGGAGUCCAACGCUUCAAAUGGUGUGCAAAUCAGAGUUGAAAUGAAGAAGUUAUGACCAUUUGAAGACAACUACGCAAAGUUGAAAGACCAUUUCGAAAUGAUUUCGAAAUUCAACUUAUGAAUUCGAAAUGACCCCAAUUUUGAAUUCACCCACUGCAACUUUGAUGUUUCGCCUACCUUGGGAAUUGAAUAUAUGGCACUCCAUUUGCCUAUUGUGGGUCCCACACAAACUAGAAAUCAUCAUUUUGUUAUUUUUUUUAGUAAUUUUUAGGUAAUUAUAUUGGAAUAAGUGGCCAAUGAGAGUGUGCCACAUGUUAGGUAAUUGAUGAUAUUAUAUAAAAUCUCUUAGUUCUAGGGUUGAAAUAUCUUAUAUCAUUUUCUUGGGAGUUUGACAUUAGAGAUGGAAGAAGAUGAGAAUUUUAGUUUGUUUUCUUUCCUUUUUUAUUAAAUAUAUCAUUUUUAGUUUCUUUGAUUCAAACUAUGGAUUUUUACCCUAUCAUGUAUUGUGAAUGCGACAUCACUCCCAUGAGAGGCUAAAGAACCAACUUGGGGCUUGAAGCAUGAAAACCUAAGGUUGGAAACUUAUAGGAAUAAUGGGUAAAUUUUUGUAAUAAUGAGAUUGAUUAUUGGUUGGAUUACAAGUUAUCAAAUUUUGUCCUAUCCUUGUGAGUUAGUUUAGGGAAUGAUAUGCUAGGUUAUUACCCGAUACUAGUGUUUCUUGGUAACUUUGGAUCAUUAGUUAUUAUGGUUUUCUCUAUCGUUAUUUGCCCCAAAACAAAGUUAUAAGGAGUAAGAAGGGUUAAAAAGUAAAAUCUUAAACCGGUAAUCAAUCUUAUUCAUUUUUAAUGGUUUUAUGAUUUUUUUUUAAAUGAAAAAUUAGGCUUCGGAUGCAAUUUUAAGUUAUAGAAUUCAAGUUGAUCGCGAGUGGCUAAGGAUCCCAAAAUCUUAAGAUCAUAUUACUUAAAAACUUUUUUUUUUUCUCUAAUUUCUAUACCCUAAGUUGGAUUGUGGAAAACCCCGAACUUGUAAGGGAACAUAUUCUAGAUUUGCCAAGACUAGACAAAAAUAUAAACCUUAUGAUCCUUAAAGACAAUAGAAAACUGGAAAUCUACAGGUUGGGCAAUGGUUAAGACUUGAUUUGAUUUCUAGGUGGAUUGUGGGGAAUAAGAGAUUGCACCGAACUUGGAUCAAGAUCUUCAAUUCUUCCAGAAUUUGCAAACUAUACAACAAGAUUCGCCCUCGAGUAUUUAUCGUUCUUGCUCAAUCUAAUAGUACUCACGGUAAGCUGGUACAUUUUUUGAGCCAAUGAGCUAGAAUAUACCAACGAAUUGAUUAGGAUUGCGAGGUUUGAAGAAAUUUCCCUUAAAGUUAUUAGAAUUUUUUCAAUGUUUGCCAUCAGUGCUCAACUAGUUGUAUAUUUAGCAUCUCAUGAGCAUGCCUAGAUUUUUUAGUGGAUGUAACGUCAAUUUCACUUGAGGCAACCACACGAUUCUUCUUAGUUAUCACUUGCCUUUGUAGAAGAACUUCUAUAGUUCUAUUUACUCCAUGUUAUAUUUUUUGGUUCUAGGCGUGUCAUCAAGGGUUCAAGAAUGGUUCUCACUUAAAAACUUUACAAAAACUCAUGGGCUACAAUGGAGCAUAACAGUUGAGAGGUGGAAUCAAAGCGUUUAUACUCAAGUUUGCACUAGCAGUUUUGAUAACAUUCAAUUUUGGAGCAACAGGGAAUGCGGUAGAAUUAGUAACAAGUCAACAUGGACUUUGAAAUGAAUACAGUCAGUUCUUCUCCAGACAUACCAACAAUCUACAAGGAUCUUCUCAUGCAAGUACCAACAACUACAAUCUUCAACACCUUCACAUUCCCGGGCUCUACUUCCAUCAUGGUCACCUUGGUGCACACCUCCUCCUCUAACUAUUUUUUUGAUUGGGAAUUUACUGUUUUGAAUUGAAUUUUCAAAUCCUUUUUCAACUAAAAAUUUUUAGCUUUGAAAAAUCCAUUUUUAGAUCUUUUCUAGACAAUAAAAUCCAGAUUUUAAUAAAUUUGCUACCAUUUUCCUUCUGGUAUACAUUUUCUUGUUUUUCUUGUUUUUUUUAAACAAUCAUGAAUAAACUUCAUGGUUCCAAAUAAUGAAACUCAUUGAACCAAUUCAUGCAAAAGUAAUUGGGACUUUGGUGGGGGGUUCGACAUUCUUGAUAUCUUCUUUGAUAUUGAUUCAAAUGAGGAGAUUGUUUGAUAUUUGAUUGAUUUUGAUUCCUCUCUAUGAUAUAUAUGAGAUUGUUUAUACCUAUUGUUGAGGUAACCUAGUUCUCAUUGAAGCGGUUAGCUGGCUACCCAGGUACACUCUCUAUAACCUACUUUCUAGAAUUCUAUGAAUAUUCAUGUUAUUAUGAGCCAUAUUCAUGUUUGAAUGAUGUCCUUGAUUGCCUUGACACUUGUUUGAUUAUUUCUAAUGAAAUGCAUCCUGAAUAAUAUACUAUUCAAAUUAAUUUUGAUUGUCUUAUGAUAACGCUUGAGAAGCAGUCCAAGUACACACCCUAACUCUCUUUUAUGAUUGUGAUUUGAUUUUUUAUUUAACAUGAUAAUAUUAAUAGAAUCUCGAAAUCAUUUUAGUCUAUCUAGGUACCUUCAAUUAAUUGAUUAAUUGCUACAUUUCCCUCAACUUUGCAAGCAGAGACCUCUUUAGGGUUUAGAGGGGUGCUACCUCUUUGAGGUACCUUCCCAAUAAGUAACCAAAUCUUCGGAUUUAGACUCAAGUUUUUCAAAGACACGUUUUUUCAAAACUAUGGAGUCACUUCUAUAAGGUUUUCUUUCUUGUUUUAUUUUUCCUUUUAAAAUAAAAUAAAAUAAGUGGUGACUUCGACUUUUCCAAAAAUAAUUUUUCACCAAUAAAAAUGAGUCUCACCAUUAAGUGGGGACGCAUGUGAAAAAUGCGGGUCCAUAAUAUCACAGUUAUGAGUUACUUCUUAUUUAGUCAAUUUAUCUUAUUGGAUUUUAUAGACAUGUUUAUGCUUUGAUUGGAUCUAGAGAAGCCCUAGAACUAGAUGUAUGCACCUUAUUCAAUCCAAGGUUAGGGAAUAGAGCAAUUUGGGAUUCCUAAUAGGUUUCACUUCAAUCAUCUUGGUGUGGACAAAAAGAUCCAUAAUGUAUCAUUAUUAAGAUAAAAGUAGCUCAUUUUAGUGUGGAAUUACUUCAACAUUAAGGAAGUAUACAAGAAGCCUAAGGUCCUUAGAGAACCAUUAGGCAAGAAGGUCCACAAAGCAUUGACCAUGGUAGCAUCAUUAGCUAUGAUAAUAAUAUUAUCAACAUAUAUAAGAAGAUAUAUAGUUUUACCAGUGGUGUUGAGGAUAGAUAUGGAGGUGUUGACAUGGGAAUCCUAAAAUCUCAAAGUGACAAGAAACUAUUAAGCUUGUGGUGCUAGGUACGUAGUGUCUUCUUGAGGCUAUAGAUAGCCUCACGAAGCUUGCACACAUGAAAUAGAUAAUCCAAAUCAAUAAAACUUGGUGGUUGAGCGAUGCAUAUGUCUUCUACAAGAUGGCCUUAAAGAAAGGCAAUGUUGGCAUCUAAUUAAUGUAGAGACCACCCACAAGUAAUAGUAAUACUAAGAACUAGAUGCAUGGUGGUGGGCUUGAAAAUUGGACAAAAUUUAUCAUCAUAGUCAACUUCCAAUCAUUAAUAAAACCCUUUUACAACCAAGCGAGCUUUAUACGUAUCAAUAGAACCAUUAGAAUGUCACCUAGUCCGAAAAGUCCACUUAUACAUAACAAAAUUGUGUGUGGGGAUGUAUAGAAGGAACUAAUUCCCAUGUUCUAUUCUGAACAGGGCAUCAUACUCCUCAAACAUGACCCGUCGCCAUUUUGGAUCCUUGAGGGCUUGGGUCAUGGUGGUUGGUUAGAGGUUUUCUGGCAUAGUAAACUAAGACUGAGAAAUCUAGUUUAUAUAUGAGUUUAUGUAGAUCAUCUUUGGUUCAAGUGUUUCUGUUUUGGGUAUGUGUUGACAAAUCGGAGGGUUGGCCACGUCCAUCAACUCCCCUUGUGUUUUCCAUGGGCACUUGGGUGGAUGCACUAUAAGGUUAGGGUAUGCGCUUUUCCUAAUAGCAAUUGCUUUUAGGAGAGUUGGUAGUGCUUGAGGUCCUACGUACAAGUGGUACUAGAGUCGAGGUCACGGGUUUAAACCAUAGGGAUGUCGUUGGGAGGAAGAUUGUUGGUAGAUCGGAGGGUUGGUCACGUCCAUCAACUCUCCUUAUGUUCGCUAUGGGCGUUUGGGCGAAUGCACCAUAAGGUUAGGGUAUGUGCUUUUCCUAACAACAAUUACUUUUAGGAGAGUUGGUAGUGCCUAAGGUCCUAUUGUAUGAAUGGUAGGUUGAGGUUUUUGGGUUAUGAGUUGGUAGGGAGGUAAUGUGAGGGUAUGAUGGAGGUGUUGGGUGUUGGAUUGGUUGUGGUGGGUUAAUAGGGUUGAGUUGUAGCAAUAGAAAGGGAAGUGGACAUGAGGUGGUGCAUCAAGUCAUCACAUAUGAGCAGUGGAAAGGGAAACAAUGUGGGUAAAGCAGAUGACAAAGACAUAGUUGUAAUGGAAAUAGUAGGAAAUGGAAUGGGUGACACCCAUGUAGAUACAGUGGUGCACUGAGUACGGGUAGAGAAGUUUGGAGAGAACAAGAGGGAAUGCACUGACUUCACAAAAUUUAUGUGAGGAGAGACAAAUAUUUUGGAGAUGAAAUGAUCUAAACACAAAUAGACACUUUGAGUAAGAGAGUAACCAUAAGAAAAUACACAGUUUCAAGCAACAAUCUAGUUUAUGAGUGAAAUAGGGCUAAAGUAAAGGAUACCAUAGGCAACUAAACACUCAAAGUGUUGAAUGGUUUGGGGAGGUGCUAAAGAGUUAUGUAUAAGGAGAGAAAAUAGUUAAUGUGGGAGUAAGCAUGGGAUUUAUAAAGAUAUAUAGUGGGAGAAAACACAUGAGACCAAUAUUGAAGCGAAAGUGAAACAUGAGAAAGUAAUGAGUGCUUCAUUUGAUAAUGAAUUAGUGACAACACUCAAAAUACCCAUUACAUCUUAAUGUGGGGAGAUGUCGUGGGAGAUACCAUGUUGAGCUAGACAAGAGGCAAUGUCCUUGAUAUUCAACACCAUUAUCAUAAUAUAAUGUAAUUAUUUUGUGAUCGAAAUGUUUUUUCAUAGUGGCCUUGAAUCAUAUAACACAUCAUCAACAUUAGAUUUUUGCUUAAGUGGGUAGAGCCAUAUGUAUUUUAUGUAGUGAUCAACAAAUAUUACAAAAUAUUUGAAGUUAUCAUGUGAUAGUAUCAAAGGGGUCCAAACAGCAUAAAAUAUAAUUUCUAGAGGUUGAUAAAAAAUAAGAAAAGAUAUAGAAAAUGGUAAUAUGUGACUUUAUUGCAUUGAUAAGUGUUAAAAAUAAAGUUAGAAAACUCUAAGAAUGAUAAUUCUAAAUUGGUAAUGAAGAUUAUAUGACAUUCUAAAUUGCAAUUAGAGAUUAUAUGUUUCAAAAUUAGGAAAGUGACAUGACCUAGCCUAUGAUGCCACUUGAACCAAGUGGUUUUUUAACACUAGAAAAUGCAAUUAACGGAGAUAACCUAAUAGUGGAAUUGACCAACCAUUCAUAUACUUUGUCCAUUGUUUGGCAAAUGAAAACGAUUUUCCCCAUGUGAAAACCCUUCAUAAGAAAAAAAAAAUGAUAAGAAUUCAAUAGAGUUAUUAUUAGUAUGAAAAAAUUGAGAAAGUGAAAUUAGAUUCUAUCAUGUUUGGAACAUAAAAGACAUUAUUUAAAGUAAAGAUGAUAGUAUGAGAGGUUAAAACUGUGGAACUAGUAUGGGUAAUGGGAAGACCUAUGUCUUCACCAAUUAAGAGGUCAUUAGAACUAGUGUAUGAGGGGGUGAUAAAAGAGAUGCCCUAGAUUGAUAGUAAUAUGGUGAGAAACAUCAUUAUCAACCGGUCAUGAUAGAGGUGUAGUGGUGGUAAUGACAUUAGCAUGUGGAUGCCAAGGUGCCAAGGGAGUGGGAGUCAAGAUUGAGGAAGAAAGAGUUGGUUGUAUUGUAGUGGACUUAAAAAGAGGCCUCGGUUUACCUUAUGGUCGUGAUCGUGCCACACAAUUGGCAAUGUCCAAGAUAGGGUUAGGGUAAAGGGUGGUCGCCUUAUUGAAGUGCUAUUGGCAAUUGUGAGGUAACCGAAAGAUGGUGAUAAGCAUGUUAUUAGCUAUGGAAGGAUGCCAUCUCAUGGUGUUUUGGUUGACUAGAUUUGUAGUGAUAAAAAAAGAAAACAACUAAGGUAAUAGAUCCUGCAAAGAAGUUUCAAAAUUCAAUAAAUUUCCAUGUAGUUUCGUAGACAUGACCAGAGUUUCACCGACUUGCAUAGACCAAGCAAGUUCUUUGUGUUUAUUAUCGAGACCAUCAAGAAUUUUCUCAGCAAGAUUUUCUACACCUAUUGGCACUCAAAAGAUAGCUAGUUCAUCAACAUGAGCUUUAACAAAUUAAAGAAAUUUAGUAACAAUUUGAGAACCCUUAUCGCAACCAUAAGAUGACUUUUCACUUGUUUAAAACAACUAUAAGAUGGUGUAGCAUAUGUAUCGAUACGAAUGGUCCAUACCCCCUGAGAGGUGGUAUAUUUAACAAUAAAUGACAUAAUAGUUAAAGAGAGAGUUUGAGUUGAUGAUAGCAUUGAGAAUCAAUUGAUCCUAAUAAAUCCAAAGAGAGAAGGUUGGGUUUGGUGAGGUGACACCAUUGACAAUGAUGCUGGUAGGUGGGUAAGGCUUGGUGUUGUCCAUUUAGCCAAGUAGAUCAUGGCCAACGAAGAAAGAUUGAAAUUGUAUUUUCCAUGAGAGAUGAUUUGUGGAUGUGAGUUUAAGGAGAAGUUGAGCGACAACAUUAAUACUGAUAAGAGUGGAGUGAGGUGUAUUGAUAUUUUGGAUGAUGAUGAUAUUGGUUUCAUCAUUGGCCAUGGAUGUUGACGUUAGGGUUUGUAAGGUAUAAAGAAAUUGGCAAAUGGGCAAAAAGAUGAUUGAUAGGAAGAAUAGUGUGAUUAAUUAGAAUGACUUUGAAAAUAGUAGUAGCUAGUAUGGUCAACAACUACUUCGUGAUUCAGAGGCUUGGUAGCUUAGUGUUCUGAUACCAUAUAUUGACAGAAAACAAUUGAGAAAAUAUGACAUACCCUUCUCAUUAAUUAAUGAUGGAUAUUUAUAUACAAAUAACAUUUGAGGGUAUGAACCUUGACUAGCUAAAAUUAAAAGAAUAAGUUCAUUUUCUACUCUAAUUCAAGCUCUAUCUUAUACUCUAAUCCAUAAUUAAGUUAAAUUAAUAAUAGAUAAAUACUAAUAUUUAAAUUAAGGAUAAACAUUAUCUUUCACUAACAUUUCAAAUAUACAAAAUUUACUGAAACCAAAAUUUUAAAUUGAAUAAGAAAUAGUGCCAAAUUCACUUUUUGAAUUUACACUUUGAAUUCCAACAUUAUUAAUUGUUUUUAACUUUAAUAAUUUAUAAUAUUAUUCAAGUAUAUGUUUGAAAUACUGAAAUAGAAAAUAUGAAUAUAAAUCUAUUUUAUUUUUUCAUUCAUUCUUACAUUUAAAUUACUCAUUAGAAAUAAAAUGUAAGAAAAUAAAAUCAGUCUUAACAUGGAAGUCAAAAUUCAUCUUUAUCAUAAUUUUGAUUCCUAUGACUCAAUGAGAGUAUGAUGACAUAAUAUUCUAACUAAAUAUAGAAAUAUAUAUAAUAAAUAAGAUAAUAUUAAAGAUUCAAAUCAUAGAAUUUCUCAAUUCUGACACAACAUAGGAUUUUGCUAUAUCUAGACUAAUACCAAUCCAAUUGACAAAUUAAUUAGCUAACUCAUUUGAUGAAUAGUAAUCAUUUCAUUUCUUAAAAUAUCCCAAACAGUAGGCUAGAGUAAGGAAUGGGCACAUAAGAUUUAUACUACUAGAAACAAGAGUAAUGGUACAAUUUAUAAUACCAAAACAAGUAGAUAAUAAGUAAAAUCAUAUGAAAAGAAAUCUGUAUAGGACUUUGGGGGCAUGGUCUAGAUAUAUAAAGGCACUUGCUCCCAUUUGAAAAAAUUAUGGAAAGAUAUAAAGUCUUACCAAUAAGCUAGAUAUUUGAUUUUAUCCCUGAAAUAAAUUUAUUAUUAUUUUUUGACUUAUAUAAAGAGCAAUUAUAUAUACUUUUUUUUUCUUAAUUUUAAAUAAAAUUUAAUACUAAAUAAUGUUUAAUAAGGUUAAGUAUUAAAUUUUUUGUUUUUGUAAUUUAUUAUUUCUAUUAAGCAUUAAAAGGUAGGAAAAACCAAUAUAUUAUUUUUUUCUAUUUAAAAAAAGUCAAAUAUUUUUAUUUUCACUCUACCAAAAAUUUAUAAUAAGUAAUAAAAAAAAUAGAAACACAAAUAAUCUAAAGUCUGAGAGUAAAUUACUUUCAACAAAAAGUUAAAAAAACAAAUACCCUCUUAGUUUGGUAUCAUGAUUUACCUUUAUUUAUUUAUUUUAAUUCUUAGGAAGUUUUGAUAGAUUUUUUUUUACCCUCAAUUUAUAAGAAAAUACUUUUUACCAAAUUAUUUAAAGUGUAUGACAAUGUUUUUACUUGAAGUAUUUUUUAAAGAAUCACUAUGAAGUGGUUUUUCAAAAUACAUUAUAAGUGAUUUUUCAAUACUACAAAUGUUAUAAAAUAUGAGAUUCCGUACCACUAUGGUAACUUGAAGAUGAUCAUCUAUAAAUAUCUUUUAUAACUUUCUAUAAAAGGGAGAGAUUCCUAAUGAAAUUCAAGAGAGUUUUUUCAUGCAUUCUAUUCUCUUCCUACAUUCUAAUUUCUCUUUCUUGUUUUCUUCCCCUUUCACUUUAUAAUUUUACAACACAUUAUCAGCACGACUAGUCUCUACAAAAGAAAUAGAAAGAUUUUUCUCUAUUAAGAGAAAUAAGAAAGACGUUAUUCUUUCAGAGAAAUAGAAAGACUCUUCUCUUUUCUUUCUCGUAAAAAGGUAUGUAAUAAACUUGUAUCAUGAUUUUCUAUUUUAUUAUUCUUCGAUUUCUAUUUUCAUUUAUUUUAUUUGAAUACAUAAAUAUUUGUAAUCCUUAUAACCAAAAGUUAUGGGUAAAUUAUAAAUUAUGGGGUAAAUUCAUAACCAGAAGUUAAGAAAAAUAUGUGCAAUUCCUAUAACCAGAAGUUAUGGAAAAAAAAUUACAAAUAUAUGACCAGAAGUUAUACAUAUGAUCCCUAAUUAUUUAUUUUUAAUUAUACGGUAUAACUGGAUGUUAUACCAAACAAUAUUAUAAAGCUAGAAACUAUAAAAUAAAUAAAUAAAUGUUCAUAGCGUGAAGCUAUGUACAAAUUUAUAUAAUGAAAGUUCAUACCUCGAAGCUAUGAAUAUAUAUAUAUAUAUAUAUAUAUAUAUAUAUAUAUAUAUAUAUAUAUAUAUAUAUAUAUAUAUAUUAAAUUUUCAUUCUUAUUUCAUAUUUAUACAUUUUUACCAUAUUUAUAAUUGAUAAAUUUUAGGUCAUUAUAUUUUUAGAUAUUGUUUACUUGAAAUAUUGUUAAAGCAUUUUAUUAAUAGUUUAUUAUAAUAAUUGAAAUAUUUCUCUGAUUAAUAUUAUAUAUAGCUUUCAGAUAAUAUCAAACCUUACAAAGCUUGAAUUUGUUACGCUCGAUAUUUUGGGUAAGAACUACUUAUCUUGGGUUCUAGAUGUUGAAAUUCAUCUAGAUGUGAUGAAUCUUGGAAAUACCAUUAAAGAAGGAAAUGACGCAUCCCUACAAGAUCGUGCCAAAGCUUUGAUAAUCCUUCGCCAUCACAUUGAUGAAGGAUUAAAAAGUGAAUGAAUACCUUACGGUUAAAGAUCCUUUCAUCAUUUGGAAUAAUCUAAGGGAACGAUAUGACUACCAAAAGACCGUAAUCCUUCCAAAGACACGUUAUGAUUGGAUGCACUUGAUAUUACAAGAUUUCAAGUCUGUUAGUGACUACAACUUGGCCCUAUUCAAAAUUAGUUCUCAAUUAAAAUUGUGUGGAGAAAAGGUCACUGAAGAAGAUAUGCUUGAAAAAACAUGCACGACUUUUCAUGCCUCGAAUGUGCUCUUGCAACAGCAAUAUCGAGAGCGUCGUUUCACUAAAUAUUCAUAAUUGAUCUCAUGUCUUCUUGUGGCUAAACAAAAUAAUGAGCUAUUAUUGAAAAACCAUCAAUCUCGUCCUACUAGGUCUAUGUCAUUGCCUGAAGCCAAUGCCACAUCUAUUCAAAUCCUUAGAGAUGGACAAGGACAUGGAUAUGGACGAGGUCGAGGACGUGGUCGAGGUCAAGGUCGUGGCAAACACAAUUCUUCUCAUCAUAGUGGUUCUCAAAGUAAAAAAGAACAACUCAAACCACCAGAAGUGGAAUAAUUCAAAGGCAUAACCUGAAAAGGGGAUAGAACCACAAAGUAAACAUGUUUGUGAGAAUAAGUGUCAUAGAUGUGGCAUGAAAGGACAUUGGUCACGUACUUGUCGUACUCCAAAACAUUUGGUUGACCUUUACCAAGCAUCAAUAAAAGGAAAGUAAGUUGAAAUGAACUUCAUUGAUACUGAUGGCCAAAUGGAUCUAACCCAUUUAGAUGUUUCGGAUUUCUUUGAGAAUCCUAAUGGGAAAUUGACCAUCUAAUUGGUGAUGGAAAUGUUUGUUAUGAUUAAACGUUAUGUUUUUAUUUAAUUCUUUGCAAAUAGGUUUAUUUUGUUAUCAUAUUUGAACACAUUGUUUAUUGUUCAUCUUUUAUAGUUUAUUUCACAUUUUAUUAUUUAUCAUUUAAAUUCUUUUCUUUAUUUAUACUUGAAGAUACAUGGAUCUGUCUCAUACCUUGAUCCAUCACUACAAUUAGUUUGAUUAUUGAAAUGCUUCCUAGUUAUUUCAUGUAUAAAUUGUUCCACACUUACAAAAUCAAAUGUGUGAGAUACUUACGAAAUAUAUAACUUUAAAUUAUCUUUUUCAUAUUUGUUUUAUUGUGUAAUAUAUGCUCUCAUUGCUUUUACACAACUUAUUAAGUUAAGUUAUCAUCGAUGACUAAUAUUUUUCCAUUGAUUUUAACUUUUUCUCUAUGAUAAUAUUUAUUCAACUCUAUAAAGACGAAGUUUUUAUGAUAAUGUUUUAUGACUUGUUACUUUGAUGAAACUCUUGUCUCAUUAAUUACACAACAUUGAUGACAAACAAUGUUAAUAAAACAAUCAAAUUCUUAGGUAUUUCAUAAGAUAACCAAAAAAACCUUAUUUUUCACCCAUAACAAAUUUAAAAGAAAAAACUCAAAUUUCUAAAUAUAAAUUUAACAAAACUUAUAAUAAAAUAAUAAAGAAUAUUUAUGUAAAAAAAAGUUAAUUUUCAAGUUUGAAAUUAAAUUUAUAAAUUUAGGAUCAUCUUAUCCCUUUAAAUCAAAUUAUUAUUAUUAUUAUUAUUAAUUUUUUUGUGUGUGUAUGAAGGGGGAGAAAAAAAAAACAGAAGGGAUAGUGAUCAUCUCCACCACAUACAUAUAUAUAAGAUAUUUGAUUAACAUGAAUAAGACAAUUCCUAGAAAUUAGGAAAAUAAUAUCAUUUUUUUUAUAUAAAAAUAUUUUUUUAUCAAUAUUUGUUUUCAAAUUUUGUACAUAUUUCAUACAAAAGGAAAGAUAAAAACCGAAGUAAUAAGAUGUUUGAGAGGUCUAGGUUGAUAGUUUUAAUAUAUCCACUAUGAUUCCAAGAGAUGAUUGGAAAAAUAGAGGGAAGUUAAAAACCCAAAAACAAAUUAAAAAAUAAUUAAUGUUAAAGAAAAAAAUACACAAAAGAUAUUUAUGUCCAAGUAAUAUUAUAUUCCAAAAAGGGUGAAGAUUAUUUUUGAGAAUUGAGAAUUAUCUUUUUUUUUUUUAUUAAUUAAAUAUUUAUAUUUUAAAUUUAAUUAAAUUUUUUCCUCUUAAUGUGAUAUAUCUUUCAAGACAAAGAUACAAUAAUAAGAAGUUAAUUAAAUUGAAAGUUCCACUUUAUGAAUUGAGAUUCCCAUGAAGGAAAUACCCCAACCCUCCCUCUUUAAGGAUUCUGUUAAAAAAAAAAUGUUCUUUUUAAAAAAUAUUAUUAAAAUAUAACUAUCAAAAAAAUAAAAAUAAUAUAAUACUACACUUUUUAUCAUUUUUUUUUUUAAAAUUUUAUAUUAAACCCAUCUUUUGAAAAGAUGAAUUCACUUUAUAUUAAACUCGUCUUUUAAAAGACGAGUUCACUUUUUGUACUGAAUUCGUUUGUUUUAAGUGUCUUUUCAAAAAAUGAAUUUACUUUUAUAUUGAACUUAUUUUUUCUUAAAAUUUUACUAGAAAUUGAAAAUACUAUAAUUUUAGAAUUAUCUUUCAUAUUACAAUUUUUUUUUUAAAUGUUUUUUGAAAAUACACUACGAAACCCUAUUUAUAUUGUUGUUGACCAUCGCAAUCAACAAAUUCUAUCCAUUUCAGUUUUUAAAAAACAAUUAUUCAAUUAUAUUAUUAAAUAUGUUCUUGGAAAAAAAUAAAAUAUAUAAAUUCAUUGCCUCAUCCUCUUAUUUCCAAACCCUAUUUAUAUUGUUGUUGACCAUCGCAAUCAACAAAUUCUAUCCAUUUCAGUUUUUAAAAAACAAUUAUUCAAUUAUAUUAUUAAAUAUGUUCUUGGAAAAAAAUAAAAUAUAUAAAUUCAUUGCCUCAUCCUCUUAUUUCCAAAACUAGUUUUGAAAAUUCUUUAAAAAAAUCAGAACCAACCACUGCAAUUAAUAAAUAUUUCCUAAACCAAAUUAAAAUUUAAAAGUCCUUAACUAGCAAAUUCUGACCACUAAUGAUCUAGCAGUUAACCUAUCAUACACCCAUUCCAUUAUCAUCCAUUCCUAUUUACAGUAGGAAGAGAUUCCCAUCAAAGUCAAGGCCAGUGAUGCAUCAUGGAUCAAAGGAUUAGCCAAAUCAUUUGCCAUCUUUAUAGGCAAUAUUAUUUCUUUGAUUAAGUCGAGUCAACCAACAGCCGACCCGUCAUGGUAGAAAUGUAGAGCCUGUGGGCGCUGGCAGAAACCAUUAUAGACCUUUCCAAGCCGUCUCCAAGUUGUAUGAACUUUAUGUCACUGUGUUUGUCCUAAUCUACUGCAAAUACUUUACUUAACUAGUGGGCCACUAGUAAGACAAAAUAUUGUCACUAGCACACACAAUAAUUGAGACCAACCUCGUGAGAAAUGACUAGUCUGUUUGUCUUUUAAGAUACCAGUGGAUGAAAAUUAAUUUUUUUUUUUGAAAAGUUUUUUCAGUUUUUCUUUUGGACAAAAUUUAAUGAUUUGUCAUGUAAAUUGUAUAAAUUUAAUUACAUAUAUUUACUUAUGGUAUGAAUUUCAGAUCAAAAUGUGUAAUUUUACUUGCAUUUAUUUUAUUCAAAAUUAUUUGCUUUUAUAUUUUGGAUUGUUGGUAGGCCCAACAAUGCAUAAGUACAUGCAGUAAACUCUUAAUGUGUAAUGACUCAUUGAGAAAUUUUAUUUCCCUGUCAAACAUUGGAUGAAAUGAUUUGUUGAUGUUUGAUUUUAUAAAUAUCAAUGUAAUAAACUAUUUCAAGCCCAAUCUCAAUUGUUUUUUCAAAUUGACCUAAUCAAAAUGAGAUUAACUUAAUUGAUAUAUGCACCUACUAAUUUAAUAUAAAUCCAAAAUAUUUUAUUGAAUCACGUGAUGAAGAGAUUCAACUUAUCUCCUCCCUAAACAAAAUUAUUAAAAAAAAUUGAUAACUUAUUGAUCUUUCUUCUUAGAUUUAUCAUUUUUUCAUUUCCUGGUUUAGAAUGGGAUAGAGAUGGACAUAUAUCACCUUAAUAGUUAGUGAAACAAUGAAUGACCGGGGAAUUAAUGUUAUUUUAUUUAAAUGAUUGAUUCUAAUAUGGGUGUGUGAUGUUGGAAAAUAUAAAAGAUUUUAUCUCUCCUAUUAAAAACAAAUUAAUUUUAUGAACAAAAUGAUGCACAUAUUCCAUAACAAUGACUAUCCAAGAAUUAUGCUCUUUUCUAAGAUGCAAAAUGUUUUGGUUUUCUCAAGUUCAAACAUUUUUUUCCCUUAGUGAUUUAGAGUUCGUUUGAGAAUGAUUUAAGAAAACGAUUUUAACUUAAAAAAAAAAAAAUUUAAAAAAUAUUUGACAAAAAAUAUAAUUUUUCUUUUAAAUUUGAAAAAUCACUUAUAAUAUUUUUCAAUGCUCUAUUUUCUGUGGGCAUGGCAGAGGAGUCAUAUUAUAUGGCUCAUUCCUCCUACCUUUCCUUCUCUUUUAUAUUGGAAUUGACUGCAUUUACAAAUGAUAUAUGGUAAGUGGUAACUCAUUGUCCCAUUCAAAGCUCUUUCCUUAUAAAACUAGUGUUGAAGAAGAAAGGCUUCACAAGGAAACAUCCAAGAGGCCUGAAAACAUGACUAAGAAGAGCUGGUUCAGGUACUUCCAGUAUGAUGAAAGGAAGGAGACCCUGGCGGAUGCGCGCAACGUUCUGUUAGUUGUGGCGGGGCUGAUCGCGGCCGUCACCUUUCAGGCGGGUGUCACCCCUCCUGGAGGAGUAUGGCAGGAUGAUAAAGAUGGGCAUAGGCCAGGAAGGGCGAUAUAUUCUUAUCAAACAAAAGAAUUCUAUGUUUUCUUGAUCUCAAACACAGUGGCUUUCUCCACAUCCAUUCUUCUUCUUAUAUCUCUAACACAUAAAUUUCCUUUCCACUUUGAAGUAAUUCUUGCCACAACAUCAAUGGUUGUGACUUAUGCUUCUUCUGUAUUCGCCGUUACCCCGGAUGAAUUGGUCAAGUUUCGAUACAUCUUGCUUGCUGCCGCUGCACCUUUCAUAAUAAGAUUCCUACUGCAGGUGUGGGCCAGGUUGACAAUGGAGGU